This 492-nucleotide ribosomal RNA is filed under the name uncultured bacterium. RNAcentral describes it as "partial 16S ribosomal RNA". It matches the Rfam family "Bacterial small subunit ribosomal RNA", at positions 29 to 507 of the family's 1533-position model. The record is from RNAcentral.
AGUGAACGCUGGCGGUAGGCCUAACACAUGCAAGUCGAACGGCAGCACAGUAAGAGCUUGCUCUUACGGGUGGCGAGUGGCGGACGGGUGAGGAAUACAUCGGAAUCUACUUUUUCGUGGGGGAUAACGUAGGGAAACUUACGCUAAUACCGCAUACGACCUACGGGUGAAAGCAGGGGAUCUUCGGACCUUGCGCGAUUGAAUUAGCCGAUGUCGGAUUAGCUAGUUGGCGGGGUAAAGGCCCACCAAGGCGACGAUCCGUAGCUGGUCUGAGAGGAUGAUAAGCCACACUGGAACUGAGACACGGUCCAGACUCCUACGGGAGGCAGCAGUGGGGAAUAUUGGACAAUGGGCGCAAGCCUGAUCCAGCCAUACCGCGUGGGUGAAGAAGGCCUUCGGGUUGUAAAGCCCUUUUGUUGGGAAAGAAAAGCAGCAGGUUAAUACCCCGCUGUUCUGACGGUACCCAAAGAAUAAGCACCGGCUAACUUCGUG